Mytilus californianus (California mussel) is the source of this 785-nucleotide long non-coding RNA. RefSeq lists it as uncharacterized. The transcript has 7 exons. The record is from RefSeq and is a predicted model, not a curated record. Lineage: Eukaryota; Metazoa; Mollusca; Bivalvia; Mytilida; Mytilidae.
AAAAGAUCAAAAUGAAAAUUUUAUACUUUUUAGAUAGAUUGACCGUUUUUAUAAGGAGGUGUGGUAUGGUUGUAAAUAAGACAACUAUCCCUCAGACACCAACGGACGUGGAUGUAAACAACUCUAGGUAACCGUACUGUCCUCAACAAUGAGACAACUAUUCCUCAGACAUCAACGGACGUGGAUGUAAACACCUAUAGGUAACCGUACUGUCCUCAACAAUGAGACAAUUAUCCCUCAGACACCAACGGACGUGGAUGUAAACAACUCUAGGUAACCGUACUGUCCUCAACAAUGAGACAACUAUCCCUCAGACACCAACGGACGUGGAUGUAAACAACUCUAGGUAACCGUACUGUCCUCAACAAUGAGACAACUAUCCCUCAGACACCAACGGACGUGGAUGUAAACAACUCUAGGUAACCGUACUGUCCUCAACAAUGAGACAACUAUCCCUCAGACACCAACGGACGUGGAUGUAAACAACUCUAGGUAACCGUACUGUCCUCAACAAUGAGACAACUAUCCCUCAGACACCAACGGACGUGGAUGUAAACAACUCUAGGUAACCGUACUGUCCUCAACAAUGAGACAACUAUCCCUCAGACACCAACGGACGUGGAUGUAAACAACUCUAGGUAACCGUACUGUCCUCAACAAUGAGACAACUAUCCCUCAGACACCAACGGACGUGGAUGUAAACAACUCUAGGUAACCGUACUGUCCUCAACAAUGAGACAACUAUCCCUCAGACACCAACGGACGUGGAUAUAAACAACUCUAGG